UCCAGUGUUUUAGGAGUAUUAAGAGGAAGAAAAUUACGGUCAUCAUUUCAUUUUUUAGAAAAUUGUACGGUCUGAAGGUCUAAAAAAAGUUCAUUUAAUUAAAUAUGCUGCAAUUACUUAACAGAAUUUUCUGAAGGCAGAAAGAUUAAAUAAGUGAAUCAUAGAGGAAGAAUAAGAAAAAUGAGUUAGUGAUAGAGCAAGAGGACAAAAUAAACAUAAGAAAAAUAAACCAUUACAUCCAGUGUUUUAAGAGUAUCGAGAGGAAGAGGUGAGGGUCAUAAUUUCAGUUUCGAGAAGAUUGUAUUGUCUGAACAAGUUAAUUGAAUGGAUUAUGCUACAACUAAUUGACAGAAUUUCCUGAAGGCAUAAAUAUUAAAUAAGUGAAUCAUAUUUUCGAGUGUCAACGAUACUGAAUUAGUCAACAGCAUAAAAACUUUCAACCAGAAACUUACCAGGAUUUGAGCAUAACUUUGAGUCGGCGAAUGUGGGAUUUUUAUCAAGAGGAUGUAGUCGGAGACAACAGAACCACCUCUAAAGCUGCUUUGCGUUGGUACUUGGUAGUGACCCUUCAGCCUAACCAUGUUGAUUCUGGGAGUGAUCAUCGGCGUGACGCUGAGUGUCAUCGUUGCGGACUUCCUCACCAAACACAGUAAACUCAUUAGUUUUGAAUGAUAAUCAGUAAUUUCUCAAACACGCCCUAAGCACACACCUAGCCAUGUAUACGUUGUACGUCGUGGCAGCGUGUAUGAUUGCCUUGAUACUCAGCGACCGGCUGGGGUAUGAUAAACUCAAAUGGUUUUAAAUCUGCAUUUUAUUCCAUAUCCAGA
Molecule: long non-coding RNA, 827 nt
Organism: Bemisia tabaci
Lineage: Eukaryota; Metazoa; Arthropoda; Insecta; Hemiptera; Aleyrodidae
Source: RefSeq, a predicted model, not a curated record